UACGAAGGGAGCUAGCGUUGUUCGGAAUCACUGGGCGUAAAGCGCACGUAGGCGGAUUUGUUAGUCAGGGGUGAAAUCCCGGGGCUCAACCUCGGAACUGCCUUUGAUACUGCAGAUCUAGAGUCCGAUAGAGGUGGGUGGAAUUCCUAGUGUAGAGGUGAAAUUCGUAGAUAUUAGGAAGAACACCGGUGGCGAAGGCG
Molecule: ribosomal RNA, 200 nt
Filed under: uncultured bacterium
Lineage: Bacteria
Description: partial 16S ribosomal RNA
Rfam family: Bacterial small subunit ribosomal RNA
Source: RNAcentral